RNAcentral lists this non-coding RNA (23 nucleotides) under Arabidopsis thaliana (thale cress). Lineage: Eukaryota; Viridiplantae; Streptophyta; Magnoliopsida; Brassicales; Brassicaceae. The record is from RNAcentral.
UUCUAGGAAAAAUAUUUGUCCCA